This 253-nucleotide ribosomal RNA is filed under the name uncultured bacterium. Its description in RNAcentral is "partial 16S ribosomal RNA". It matches the Rfam family "Bacterial small subunit ribosomal RNA", at positions 524 to 776 of the family's 1533-position model. The record is from RNAcentral.
GACGAAGGAUGCAAGCGUUAUCCGGAUUCAUUGGGUUUAAAGGGAGCGUAGGUGGCCUUAUAAGUCAGUGGUGAAAUCUCUCGGCUUAACCGAGAAAUUGCCAUUGAUACUGUAGGGCUUGAGUACAGUUGCUGUGGGCGGAUUAUGACAUGUAGUGGUGAAAUACAUAGAGAUGUCAUAGAACACCGAUUGCGAAGGCAGCUCACAAAACUGUAACUGACACUGAGGCUCGAAAGUGCGGGGAUCAAACAGG